Betta splendens (Siamese fighting fish) is the source of this 2675-nucleotide long non-coding RNA. RefSeq lists it as uncharacterized. NCBI's taxonomy places the organism in Eukaryota, Metazoa, Chordata, Actinopteri, Anabantiformes, Osphronemidae. The record is from RefSeq and is a predicted model, not a curated record. The transcript is spliced from 2 exons.
UCAGGCCCCCGCUCUGGCCGCCUGACCAAAGCCUCUGAGGCAGCCGGGCGGAAAACAAGAUGCAAACAGCCACCCCACGCAGCGUGGUGAGCAGGCCGUGGCUGCUCCCGCAGACAGGGAGCCUGGCUGGUCCCAGUCUGCGGGGCGACAGAGGGGGGGAGGAGGUGGGGCCUACUCCUCCUCAUUUGGUCCAGUGAACCAGGAGACCACCAGCUAGACAAGAAGAGACCACCGUUGAUCCAGUGACAGCCACGGGUUGACCUUGAUUGAGGAGGUCAACGAGGGGGGGGGGGUUCAAGCAGCCCCUCCACCUCCUCCUCUGACCACCACCCCCCACGCACACCCCCAGGCAGAAUGAAAUCCCUCUGUCCCACGUGCCCGGGGCCUGGCCCGAAACGGACGGCUUUUUCCACCAAUCAGUUUUGCUCAAUUAAACUUCAGAAGACACCCUGUCACAUCUCUCUGCAAAGGUCACGACCCCCGGGGGCAGAGGUUAAGUCUGGUGCUCGUAAAACAAGGUCUCCAUUAACACAGCAGCAUGUAUUCAGAGGUAAUCCAUCCAUUUCCACAAACUAUUAUGACGGCGUGAAAAAAACGCCGCGUGGCUUAAGGGGUGCUGCUGCUGCUGCUGCUGGUGGAGGUGGUGGUGGUGGUGGGGGGGUGGGGUCAAGGUAAUGAUGUUUUAUGACCGUGUUAACUUUCAGCACCAGAGUAAUGUGAAAGCUGCUUGACCUUGACCUCGUCUCCCACGGGGCUGCCUCAGCAAACCUGUUCUGUCACUGCUCAUGAGCAAAUCUAACGACGACUCUCUACUUAUAUAUGCUUUCGCUGUAAUUCCUACUUUUACGGCCACCUCUACUCCUUUACUGCUCCCAUUCCACUCCAGCUACGUGUCCUUGAAUUCAUUUAUACUGGAGGCACUUCAGAGGAAAAGUGAAGACAAUUUUAAAAAUUCUUCAGAAUUAGUGAUAUUUAAAAAAAUAUAUUUUAUUAAUGCAAACAAGUGAAGAGCACAAAGCUUUCAUUGUGCACAAGGUCCGCAUUCCUGCAUUUGUUGAUCAAAUUGCAAAGCAGUUCAAGAAAACCAAACACAACGUGCGCUAUCCCAACGUGUCCCAACACGAACAUUAUCUGCAUGCCUUGUUACAACUAUUCCAUCAAGCUGUCAAACAGGAUAUGCAAAGUAUGAAUCCAGGUGGGCCGAGGUGAUGAGUCAAAAAAAACUAAAUAAAGAUUUACACUUUUUAUCAGAUGGAAGAUAAAACAGCGCAGUGGAACGCGACAGUGUCGGAGUGUGUGUGUGUGUGUGUGUGUGUGUGUGUGUGUGUGUGUGUGUGUGUGUGUGUGUGUGUGUGUGUGUGUGUGUGUGUGUGUGUGUGUGUGUGUGUGAAAGAAGCCAGGCCUGUGUGAACACAGCCUGCUAGUUGGCACAAUGGAUGCCACAACCCCCACUCCCAGUGGGCAUUCAUGUGGGCAUCAGCGUCCUGCCGCUGAAACCCGCCUGUGUCCGGAACAAGGGGCCGAGCGCCGCUCGCUCGCUCGCUGCCAGCCGGACGCCCUCUCCCCGUCCAACGCUACCACGCUGAACCCCAGCCAUGAACAGCAAAUAGCGGCUGCAGCGUAUCUUGUGUCAUCCAGAACGGAGCUGCUGCCAGGUCGCAGAAGUUGCCGCAGAACAAAGGCAGCGGCUUCCAUUCUGCCACUGUCAAAAACUUUCCAACGUGCCCACUGCAUUGCGGAUGCCAACCAACGAAUCAAAGGCACGCUGCAAGCAGACAAAGAGGGUUCGAUGCCAACCUCCAAACCUCUAACAACCAUCACUGGUGAUUCGCCUGCCUCCCUGGCACACUGCAAAACAAAAUGGCGCCGCGCUCCCACAAUAUGGCUGCAUUGUGUGGAGGCGGGCACCGCUUGCUAACGCGAAGAAAUGGAAAAGGCUUCAGCUCAGGAAGACGAGAAAAGGGGGAAAAACGCUGCGCGUGUGUGAUCCGGGUCAAAGAAUCUUAUUUUAUAUUUGCCAAAAGUUUCAAGCGACGCUGAAAACAGCAGCAGACGAUCGCUGCGCUCCGUAGCGCGGGGAUUAAUGUGGAUGAAUCCGAUUCAACACUCAUUUCAAGCCGAAAACACAAAUAACACAGAACUCAUGAAAUACCGUCUAUAGAGUAAAAUACAAACACUAAGUUAUAAGGUGAAAUGUGCAGCAAGGAGCCGUUUUGGAGCUGGUGCUGAAUAGUUAAAAUGCAGCAGAUGCAAAGUGGAGGAGCGGUGGCAUCCGACAAAGGACACAAAGGAGGGUCUGAUGCCAACCCCGGUGCCAGUGGCAACCAUUAUUGUCUCUGUGCGGUGCCUUCUGCUUUCCCUGGCACUUAUCAAACACAAAAUGGCGCUCAAGGUUUGAUUAUAAUGAGCUAGCUACGCCGCCACUGUUUCUCCCUCAGCAGCAAACGUACCGGACGUUCGCCGCGAAGGAGUCGCAAAAGGAAUUUUCGACCGUUAAUCUUAAGGGAAAUUGUUUCAUUGUCAAUAAAUAAAAUUAAUGAACUAUUUCAAAUUAUUUUCAGGAAAUAAGGAAACAUAUUUUCACGCAUAUUUUGAGACUGUUGUUAGCUUUAAAUUCUACUAAAUGAAAAUCUAUUUAGUAUCCAAAUAAUAUUAAAGCAAAUUAUGAAAAUGUA